UACGGAGGGUGCAAGCGUUACUCGGAAUCACUGGGCGUAAAGCGCGCGCAGGCGGCUAUUUAAGUUGGAUGUGAAAGCCUACGGCUCAACCGUAGAACUGCAUCCAAAACUAUUUAGCUAGAGUGUGGGAGAGGAAGAUGGAAUUAGUUGUGUAGGGGUAAAAUCCGUAGAGAUAACUAGGAAUACCAAAAGCGAAGGCAAUCUUCUGGAACACUACUGACGCUGAGGCGCGAAAGCGUGGGGAGCAAACGGGAUUAGAUACCCUAGUAGUCC
RNAcentral lists this ribosomal RNA (273 nucleotides) under uncultured bacterium. Its description in RNAcentral is "partial 16S ribosomal RNA". It matches the Rfam family "Bacterial small subunit ribosomal RNA", at positions 524 to 796 of the family's 1533-position model. The record is from RNAcentral.